GGUCUGCAAAUCACUGUCUUUUACACGACACUCACAGAGGUAUUUGUCGUCACUGAGGGUAAACACAUCAUUUUAUAUAUCAAUCUUAAUUAAAAAAAACACACACACAGAGACAAUUAAAGAAUCUAUGGUUAUAUCAGCACAAAUAUGAAGGUAAGCUUUCUUUCCCUAGCCAUUCCUCCAUGCCAAACGUACUUGAAAUUGGACGAUGGUGUCAUGUUUACGAGGGACAGAUGAAAAGCAAUAGAAAUGGCAAAUCAAAACUAUAUAUGCAAAAGCUUACUCAAGCGCUUUGUUCUUCUCACUUUUUAUGUAUUUUUGCAAGCGACACCUGAAUCUAUAUCUGCCUAAAACCGUAACAUUUUCAUCUCUUCAAUUUUCAAUCUUAAAUCUUCUUCGGAGGGUGUCUUGCCACCAUCCUUCAAGGUUGCACACCACCAUGCCAUUAGCUCUAUUAAGGAAACUAAAGCAAUCACAGCAAUGCCAUCUCCAAUAUAGCUGUCAUCAUUUAUGUCAAUACCAUAUAUGUGUAUUCCAUGAUUUUAGGAUCAGGUUUUUCUUUCUGUUACAUAACUUUGAUUGCCUAAACUUAUGGUUUCGGGUUGUAUAAAGAUAUUAAAGAUGUACAGAGAUAAGCGUGCAUUUGUAAUAAGAAUAAUUACAACAGUUUUUGUAUCCGCUUUAAGCUCACCCUGCAAAAUACAGGAGUUGGGCUUAACCGCCACUUUUGAAAGUAAAAAAACAUGAGAGCAAAACCAUCUAGGUGGUGGUCCAGUGGUAAAAGUUUGGGACUAAGAGGUUUGCUCCCUCUAUGGUCUCAGAUUCGAGUCCUGUGAUUGCUCAUAUGAUGGCCACUAGAGGCUUACAUGGUCGUUAACUUCAGGGCCCGUAGGAUUAGUCGAGGUGCUCGCAAGCUAGCCCGGACACCCAAAUUAAACUAAAAAAAUAAAAUAAAAAUCAGAGCAACAUAAGAGUAGGAUCACUUUCUUUCUCAUGUACAAGGAUAAUAUUUCCACCAUUUUUAAAUGAACGUGGAACUUGAAGGUCCAUUCUUAAAUAGUCCUUAUAUAUAUGAUAAUAUAUUAAGAAACUCAGAGUCAUUGACUUCCUUUACAAUCGUGCAUUCAAAACAUACAAACAUGAUUCAACAAGGGGGAAAAGGCUAUAAAUAGCCAGAUUAAUUAAAUGGAGCCCAUGAAUAAAGAUAUCAAGCUCGCAGAUUCAGCUGGAAAUCUAUAGAUCAAAGAUUGAAAUUUAAAUUGCUAGAUUAUAUAAAACAUGAAUUCGUUUUCAGAGUCGGGCUUUUACCUCGGUGAAGUCGUGGUUGGAGAUAUAUUGACUCUCAACUAAACAUUUGACGCCACCUACAAUUACAGCAAUAGAAUUUUUGAACUUUUGUUUUGAACUCUGACUUUGAACUCCUGUAUGAUCAAAAGAAAGAACAGGGGAAAAAGGGGAGGGGGUGAGUCGUCAACAGAAAAGGAAGCUAAUUAAUGACAACUAUGCAACUCGUCCAUCUAUCAUGGAUAGGAGACAGGGUAAACAAUUUUGGCUUACCAGUAAUGCAGGCAACAUAAUACCCAGUUCCCCCCAGUCCCUGUUCCCACUUCCCAAGCCGCAAGCGCAUGAAAAGCCAUCAAGAUGUGAUGGUGGUGUAUGGGAAUUCAUCCAUCUGGUGCCAAUGCAUGCAACAUAGCAAAUAUAAAAAAAAGGAUAAAAACUUUUACGACAAUAAUUUCUAGAAAAGAAAAACUCAAGCUUUGAUGAAUGUUACAGAUAAAACCAAGGUUAUUCCUUGAAAGUAGUUUUGAGUUUUUGUUCAUAUUGGUGUUGAUAAGUAGGACUUUCAGGGGAGAAAAUCAUAAAUGAGAAAGCAGGACUAGGUUUAUAAUUAUCUUGUAAUUCAGUUUUCUAGAAUGACCAGCGAUUGCCUUCAAUUGCAGUGUAGCUGAUGUAAUUGUGCAGUUAUCAUAAAAAUGCCACAAACACAUUAUCACACAGUUACUCCUCUUUGUUCAAAUUUUGCAUGGAGGUAUGCCAACAGAAGAUGAAAAAAGUGCUACUAAAAUUUACCCCCCCAUUGAUAUUGACUAUGAAGUACAUUAAUUUUUUAGUUUAAUGUGGGUGUCCGGGUCAGCUUGCGCGUACCUUGACUAAUCCCACGGGCCCUGAAAGUAACGACCAUGUAAGUCUCCAGUGGCCAUCAUAUGAGCAACCACAGGGCUCGAACCUAAGACCACAGAGGGAGCAAACCUCUUGGUCCCAAACUCUUACCACUAGCCGUAAGAUAGGUAUGCAGAGAGCUAUCCGAGCAAUUCAAACUAUGAAAAACAGUACUAUCCUUUUCUUCUGACGAUUUAUGCAGGCUGGUACUCUCAAUCUAUGUCUUGCAAUCCUUCCUUUUCUUCUGACACUCUCUCUUCUUCAGCCACAAUCAUUUCUCUUUUUUCUUCCUUAUGCUUCACCGAUGCAAUAUCUAAUACAUUUAAGUUAUUGGUUCUGAUCCUGGACCUUCUUGCAUAAGUUGUAAAAUAUGUCACCUCAUUAUACUUCUAUCAUAGGAUUCUCAUAGCCACUAUCCUGAGCUCCUCACCACGUGUUUCCUUGGAAUUAAUUUUCCUAGAAGGUCACUCAGAUUUCACUUCAAGUUCAAAAAGUUUCAAAGUUAUGGAGAAGAAGAAAAAAGGUCAUCCUUCAGUGGUCCUGAACACCACAGCCAGAUUACAAUUUGAUCUGCAUCAGAAGGUAACACAGUUACCCAAAUGCCAUCUUCUUGCCACAAGGCCAGACUGUCUACCAUAAAACCAUGUUGCAGAAACAAAGGUUGUAAGAUAUGCAAAAGCAAAAUUGAAAAGAACUGACUUCGAGGGGGAGAAAAAUGCCAAAAUCAUGAGCCAAAGUAAUAUGAGGAUAAAGUAGCAGAAGAUGAUUUGAUAGAAUAAGCAUGGACAGACCAAUAUUAAGCCAGAUGUUCAAGCCAAUGCAUUUCAAAAUUACCAGCUCACGAAUUUUCUGGUUCAAAUCUGUCAUACUAGGUUCAUAUUUAGGAAAAUGAGGCUUUAAUGCCCUUACCAGAAGUUUAUUAGAUUUUCUACGCAAUCAAACAAAUUCCCACCUCGGACUUGGUUUAUCUAGUUAAGAAAAUAAAUCAGAUGUCUUUAGUUAUUGCAUGGCAGUUUAUAGGAAAGAUCUAAAAAAAGAAUAACAGUGAAGAUGACAGUUUAGUUGGAAUGAUCUACUUACUUGAGAAUAAUUGUUCGAGAUAAACGAAGCCUUUUUACUGCAUCAAAAAUUCCCUUCGGUACGUCCGCUAUCUGGCUAUUGAUAAAAUUGCUCAAAGGCAUGACCUGGUUUUCUUUCAACUUCUUUUCCCCAGAACUUGAAGCAGUGUCUCUCUCAAACGGUUUCAUAUUCAUAUUUAUUUUCCCAGAGGCAGAAGCUUCAUGCAAUUUCCCAUUGCGAACUGUAGGUGCAUCAGCAGCUUGCAAUUGACUAUCCUUGCCAUCUGACUGCUUUGCAUCGUCUUCAUUUCUUGGAUUGAGAAGAAUUUUACAAGGGCUGGAUUCAUGGACCAGAGAAGCGCCAUAUUCUGCUUGAUGUCUUGUUCUUGAAGAGGCACUAGGACAUGCAACAGCCCAGUGAUUUGACUGGAAACAUCUUAUGCACACACAUGGAAAUUCGUUUGCUCCGUUAAAUGAAUUAGCAUUUCUUAGAAUAUCUGCAAGCUCACUAUCUAUUAUCUCUGGACAAUCUCGCACAUGGUGACAUUUUAUGCCACAAAAGAAACAUGUCAGGUUUCCAUGAGAAGAAUCAUCUGUCCCGUAUGAUGGCAUGAUGUGCAUGAGGGCAUCCAAUCUCCUUGCAAAGACAGAAGCCAUCGCCUCUGAAUUUCUGAAUCUUGAAAAAGGCAAGGUAGAGUUCAUUUUACACAUGGACUUCUCAUCAUGGUGUCCAUUUACUUUAUUUAUGCUAAAUGAAACUUCAGUACUGUUGGCACAAUUAUGCAUGCAUACCGGGUCCUCAGUGAAGUGCUCCUCCUCCCUAGCCCCCACAAUGUUUUUAUCUUGGUAAGAAGAAGGAUGAUUCUGCCACUGAGCCUUCAGCCUUAUGAAAUCGGUAAAGCCAUCAAGAGCUUCGCCAGUUCUUCUGUGGCAAAGAUCCCGGUUCGACAAUGGACCAGAAGUUUUUGGAGAAAGCCGAGUUAUCCACAAGCUUGUGAGUGGGUCACUUCUGUACCCGGAAGUAUUUGUGGCCUUGCCUUCAGAUGGCUGUUCAGCAUCGUUCAUCUUACGUUUACCCGGAGAGGAAUUGGAGCUUGUCCCAUUUUUCUCCUUAUCAGUUGCCAUGUUGCAUGAAUUUUUUUUCUCUGCAGAGUUACUCCCGCUGAUCUCCUGACUAGAAGCAAUAUUGGUGGAUAAAAGUUUGGUCAAGGCUGGUGAAGCUGCACCAUUUCCAGAUGUCGACUCAUUUAACUUCUCAUUUGGUUGAAGAAACCGUCUGUACACAUUGUCAGUCACCAUACGACAGGGUAUUGGAGUAGCAUUAGAGUCACAGAUCUUGUUGUCGAGCCCAAGUUCUUUAGAUACUUCAGUUUGAGUAUUGGCAUUCAAAGCGACAGUUUCUUGAGCCUUUGUCUUGGGACAAUACAAUGACUGAAAAAGCGAAUGAAAUCCUAUAGUUUUGCACCCUUUAUCUUGAUUUCUGUUACAUGAAAUGAGAUUCUUAUCACGAUCCUCAUGUCCAUGCUUGUGAUUUGCGAGGGUAAGAGCAAGAGACGGUGCCUCAUCUUCAUUUGAUUUUAAGAACCCCUUCAUCAUGUUUGAGAUCCAAUUUGUUGGAGUUAUGCCUUAAGUUGCUGCCUUUAUUUUAUUUUAGUAUUGUCUAUCUUUUUUAGUUUAAUUCUGCUGAAAUAAAAGACUAGAGCUGGUCUUCAGGACAUGAACUAGUCUUUAGAAGUCAGUUAUGUUGUUAGCUGAACAAGGUACAUUUAUGUUAGUGGUCAGCUGAAUGUGGCACAUUGUAGUGCUACAAACCAGCAAUUUCAGUUUGUUUCAAGUCUAUUUAAACGUGUAAAGAUUGCUGAAACAAGUAAGCAAUCAACAAUAUUUUUCAGUUCAAUAAAACAGUAAAAAACUUCCACUGUACAAAUCAAAAUCUGCAUUUUGUUUUUCACCUUUUCUUUUCAAUCUCUUCAAACUCUUUCAAUUGGUAUCAGAGCAAUUUUCUUGAAGGGCCUGUGAUGGAUUCUGAAUCAAGUUUCACUCAUAUUUCUCCUCCAAUCUUCAAUGAAGAGAAUUUUCAACUAUGGGCAGUAAGAAUGGAAACUCACCUAGAAGCCUUAGAUUUGUGGGAAGCUGUUGAAAAGGAUUAUGAGGUGCCACCACUGCCUAAUAAUCCAACUAUGACUCAGAUCAAAAGUCAUAAGGAGAGAAAGACCAAGAAAUCAAAGGCGAAGGCAUGUCUGUUUGCUGCUGUUUCCACAACCAUUUUCACCAGGAUCAUGUCACUUCAAUCAGCAAAGGAUGUUUGGGAUUACUUGAAGAAGGAAUAUGCAGGAGAUGAAAGAAUUCGUGGAAUGCAAAGCUUAAACUUGAUACGUGAAUUUGAGCUGCAAAGGAUGAAGGAUUCUGAGACUAUAAAGGAGUACUCAGACAAAUUGAUGGGGAUUGCUAACAGAGUCAGGCUGCUGGGAACAUCAUUUGCAGAUUCCAGAAUUGUUGAAAAACUUCUGGUCACAGUACCAGAAAAGUAUGAAGCUUCAAUUACAACAUUGGAGAAUACUAAAGACCUGUCAAAAAUUACAUUGACAGAGUUGCUAAAUGCCUUACAAGCUCAGGAGCAGAGAAGGCUUAUGAGGCAGGAUCAUGCAAUUGAAGGUGCUUUGCAAGCAAAAUUUGCAGACUAUGACAAGAAGAAGUUCUUCAGGAAGAACGCAGCUUCAGGCAGCAUUAAACCAAAUCAAGGUUACAACAAAGGAAAAUUUAUUAAAAGGAAUUUUCCACCUUGUCAACACUGCAACAAGAGUGGUCACCCACCAUUCAAAUGCUGGAAGAGGCCUGAUCCAAGGUGCAGCAAGUGCAAUCAGCUAGGACAUGAGGCAAUAGUCUGCAGAUUCAAAAAUAAAAAACAAGAAGAAGAUGCUCAAGUCGCGAACCAAGAUGAUGAGGAUCAGAUGUUUGUGGCUGCAUGCUUCUCGGUUCAAACCACCUCAGACCAUUGGCUAAUUGAUAGUGGUUGCACCAACCACAUGACUUUUGAUAAAAGUCUUUUCCGAAAUUUGCAGCCUACAGAAGCUGCAAAAGUCAGAAUUGGAAAUGGUGAAUGCAUUGAAGCCAAGGGAAAGGGAACAAUUGCCAUCACAACAAAUUCAGGUACAAAAACAAUUGCAGAUGUUCUUUAUGUGCCUAAUAUAGAUCAGAAUUUGUUGAGUGUGGGGCAAUUAAUUGAGAAAGGAAUGAAGGUGAUUUUUGAAAAUCAACAUUGCUGUAUUUUUUAUGCUGCUGGGUGUAAAAUUCUACAAGUUAGAAUGAAGAGCAAAAGUUUCUCGUUUCUGCCAUUUGAGGAGGACAUAAUGCUUUCCCAACAAAACUCAAUUAUACUAAGUUAUGGCACAAAAGGUUGGGGCACUGCCAUCAACAAAGGAUGCUUACCAUGAAGAAUUCUGAGGCUGUCAGAGGUAUACCUCCAUUUACUGAAAUUACAUUGAACUGUCAUGCUUGUCAGUUUGGUAAGUAGAAUAGAAAAUCAUUUUCGAGAUCAACUUGGAGAUCAUCCCAAAAGCUGCAGCUGAUUCAUACCGAUGUGGCUGGUCCUCUAAGCACACCAUCAUUAAAUGGCAGUAAAUAUUACUUGCUGUUUAUUGACGAUUUCUCUCGAAUGUGCUGGAUUUAUUUCAUGAAAUUCAAAUCAGAAGUGGCUGGAAUUUUCUGGAGAUUCAAGAAGAAUGUGGAGAAUCAAAGCAACUGCAGAAUUCAAGCAAUUCGUUCAGACAAUGGCAGAGAAUACACAUCAACAGAAUUCAAUCUUUAUUGUGAAGAAGCUGGCAUUGAGCAUCAACUCACAGCCCCUUACAAUCCAGAGCAGAAUGGGGUUAGUGAGAGAAGAAAUCGAUACAUAAUGGAGAUGGCUAGAUGCAUGCUACAUGAGAAGAACUUGCCUAAAGUUUUUUGGGCAGAAGCUGCUAACACAACAGUAUUCCUGCAAAAUCGUCUCCUAACAAAGCUUUUGGCAGAAAAAACUCCUUUUGAAGUGUGGUAUAAUUACAAACCCUCACUUAGUUUUUUUAAGGUUUUUGGCAGCACAUGUUUUGUUCACAUUCCACAGAUUAAGAGGGACAAGCUGGACAAGAAGGCAAUGCAAGGUAUCUUUGUUGGCUAUAGCACAAUUUCUAAAGCCUACAAAGUAUACCUCCCUCAAACCCAGAAGAUUACAAUUACACGGGAUGUGCAGUUCCAUGAAGACGACAAAUGGAACUGGGAUGAAACACAAGAGAUCACGGUGCUUGAUGAUCAAAUUAUUACUCCCCUGCAAAAUGAAUCAAUUGAUGAAUCACCAGUACGAGGCACCAGAUCACUUGAAGAAAUCUAUCAAAGGAGCAAUGUGGCUGUUUGUGAACCAGAAAAUUAUGAAGAUGCGCAGAUGAAUCCAGCAUGGCAGGAAGCAAUGAAGGAGGAAAUACACAUGAUUGAAAAGAAUCAUACGUGGGAACUUGUUGAUCGACCUGCAGACAAGAACAUUAUUGGCGUCAAGUGGAUUUUCAGGACCAAACUGAAUGCUGACAGCUCCAUCAACAAAUUCAAGGCAAGGCUGGUUGUCAAGGGGUAUGCUCAAGUGUAUGGGGUGGAUUAUUCAGACACAUUCGCUCCAGUAGCAAGGAUGGACACCAUCAGAUUGUUGCUUGCUGUUGCUGCACACAAAAACUGGAAAGUGUUCCAGAUGGACGUAAAAUCAGCCUUCCUCAAUGGCGAUUUACAAGAAGAAAUUUAUGUUGAACAACCUGCUGGAUUUGUUGUUCAAGGAGAAGAAGACAAGGUGUACAUGCUGAAGAAGGCACUUUAUGGAUUAAAACAGGCACCAAGGGCUUGGUAUGGCCGAAUUGAUGACUACUUGACAGGGUUUGGAUUUCAGAAAAGUCUUUCUGAAUCAACCCUCUAUGUGAAGAAAAUUGAUGAUGAUGUUCUUAUUGUGUCCCUCUAUGUUGAUGAUUUACUUGUAACUGGAAGUAAUUUGCAGCAAAUUGAAAGGUUCAAGCAGGACAUGAUGCAAGCUUUCGAAAUGAGUGACCUUGGACUCAUGAGUUUUUUUCUUGGCAUGGAGAUUAAACAAAGCAGAGGAGUGAUCUUCAUUGGUCAAGAAAAAUAUGCGAAGGAGAUUUUGAAGAAAUUCCAAAUGGAGAAUUGCAAACCAACUGCUACUCCAAUAAAUCAGAAGGAUAAAUUCAGCAAAGAGGAUGGGACUGCCAGGGUAAAUGAAGAAAAGUACAGAAGCUUGAUUGGUUGCUUGCUGUAUUUGACAGCAACCCGACCUGACAUUCUUUAUGCAACAAACCUUCUAUCAAGGUUUAUGCAUUGUCCAAGUGAGCUACAUAUGAGGGCAGCCAAACGUAUCCUGCGAUACAUCAAAGGAACAUGCAGUUUUGGUGUUAAAUUUAUGCAAUGUAAAACACUGAAAUUGCAUGGCUUUUCUGACAGUGAUUGGGGUGGAUUCAUUGAUGACAUGAAAAGCACUUCUGGUUUUUGUUUCAAUCUAGGCUCAGCAAUAUUUUCAUGGUCAUCCAAGAAGCAAAGCAUUGUUGCACAAUCAACUGCAGAGGCAGAGUUCAUUGCUGCCACAGCUGCAGUUAACCAAGCUUUAUGGCUUCAAAAGUUACUGCGUGAUCUACAUAUGGAAGAGGAAGAAGCAACUGAAAUCUCAGUUGACAAUCAAGCAGCUAUAGCAAUCUCUAACAAUCUUGUGUUUCAUGGGAAAACCAAACAUUUCAACAUCAAAUUAUAUUUUAUCCGAGAGGUGCAGAAGAAUGGAGAUGUUAAGCUACUUUAUUGCAGGACUGAAGAUCAAAUGACUGAUUUGUUUACCAAAGCACUUCCUGCUAACAGGUUCGAAUUUCUCACAAGGCUGAUAGGAGUAUGCAGCCCUUAAUGCAAGGAGGAGUGUUGGAGUUAUGCCUUAAGUUGCUGCCUUUGUUUUAUUUUAGUAUUGUCUGUCUUUGUUAUUUUAAUUCUGUUGAAAUAAAAGACUAGAGCUGGUCUUCAGGACGUGAACUAGUCUUUAGGAGUCAGUUAUGUUGUUAGCUGAACAUGGUACAUUUAUGUUAGUGGUCAUGUUAGUGGUCAGCUGAAUGUGGCACAUUGUAGUGCUACAAACCAGCAAUUUCAGUUUGUUUCAAGUCUAUUUAAACGUGUAAAGAUUGCUGAAACAAGUAAGCAAUCAACGAUAUUUUUCAGUUCAAUAAAACAGUAAAAAACUUCCACUGUACAAAUCAAAAUCUGCAUUUUGUUUUUCACUUUUUCUUUUCAAUCUCUUCAAACUCUUUCACAAUUCAUGAAUGAACUAUCAUGUUUAACAAAUGAAGAGGAACCGGGACUUAAUUUCUUGAAUUUUUGUUUUGAUACUUUUUCUCCCAACAUACGAAUGUGGAUCAAGGUUCCGUUGCCUUUUGCCAGUAGAAAAUAACCCAACACUGUUGCAACUUUCAACACUUUCAUGGCUGUCAUCAUCCAUGUCCAGCAUUCUUUCAUUUAAAUUUCCAUCAGAUAAAGCCUUAGCCUUGCCUUUCAUUUGAUACCUCCGGGUUCUGCUGUAUGUGGGAGACUGUUUAAUGGCACAAUCAUUGUCUUUAGGAAGUAUCUCAUCAUCCUGCUGAGAGCUACUCCGGACUUCCUUGGCAUUUUGUGAUCCUACAAUCUCAGUUGCCACAUCACACACAUUUUCACUAUGUGGAGUUUUAAAAUCAUUCUCUGCUGUUGACUCCAGUUUUUCUAGAGGACAGAUGUAGGGACCAGUCUCCAUAUAAUUGUCUCUCUCUUUUUCCAUGCAUGCAGGUGAUCGAUUCAAAAUGUUCUCUUCCUACUGAUGGUGCUUUCUGCAUAUUAGUGUCAUGAGAUUCACAUUCUUCCACAUAGCAAACAGGAGUGAGUUCAUGGAAACGACAUCGUUUGUUCUGCACCCUACACUCGCACAUAAAUACCUGUUUCGAUGAACAAAAGUUUCGAAACUUGACACUCUCAAGAAAAAAAUAAUAAGAAGAAUGGAGAAUAUGCAGAAGCAGCAGCAUGGUGCUCCCGCGUCUACCAAGAUUUCCUUCCUCAAUUGCAUCGAUCUUUCCACCCCAGAUAUCCAGCAAUCUUUUUCCCUUACAAACAGGUAAUUUAAAAUAAUAUCUUUCUUUUUAAUUUCUCCCUGAUAAUUAAUUAAUUCUGUUUUGAUUCUAUAAAAUGGUUUUGUUUAGAGCAGGCGUGUUUGGAUAGUGGAUUUUUUUCUUUUUACGUGAAAAACCAUGGAAUAAGCCAAUAAUUCAUAGAGGAGGGAUUAACGCAGAGUAAGAAAUUUUCUGAAUUGCCAUUAAGUGCGAAAAUAAAGGUUUUAUUUAAGGAAUGAGAAGCAUAGCCCGUUUAGAAGGUCUCGGCAACUCCUACAUGGUGGGGUGGCACAUGGCCUAAAAGUGCUUUUAAUUUAGUGUCGAUAACUUUUUUUUUUUCCCUGUUUUUUUUCUCCUCUCCUCGUAUUCAACACCAUCCCCUUCAAAAAUUCAUAUUAACUCCUUCAAUUUCUUUUUUCUUCACAUUUAGUCUAUGUAUUUUUUACUAUUUUUUUUUAUUAUGUAUAAACCAUUAAAUUACAAAUAUUUUUCAAUCCCCCCUCUUUUUAUUUUUUAAUCUUUCAGAUUUAAUAAUUAUUUUUUAUAUUGUUGUUUUUUAUUUUCAAUAAGCUAUUAAAUUUUAUUUUUUUCAAUUUCACCCCCUUUUAUUUUUUUCUUUUAAACUUGGUUAUCAUUAUUUUGAUUGCUAUUUAUUUUGCUUGAGAUUAUUUUUUAGUUUUUUUUUAAUUUCAUCAUCCAUGGUUUUUUUUUCCUAUCAAUUUAAUCUUUUUUUUCUUCUAUUGCUAUCUUUUAUCAUUUGAUGAAUUUUUUCAACUGAUAUUUUUUUUUAUAUAAUUUCAUCAUUCAAAAUUAAAUUGGUUGAUAAUUGAGCUUCUUGAUUGAACAUGUUUCAAGGAUUUCAUGGAUUGUGAGUUUUAGAUAUGAGACCGGGUUUAGAAGGUUUGCCCGAGUUGAUUUGUUUUUAUUUUUUCUUUUUUUAAAACCUAAUGAUUUUUUAUUCUGCGCCCUAUUUUUAGAGUUUUGCUUUAUUAUUAUUUUUAUGUUUUGUCUUUCAUGGAAUUAGUUUUAUGUCCAUGACUAAAGUCACUAGUUUAAGAAGUUGACGUGAGUUGACUUUUGAUUUUUUGGGGUUUUUUUAAAUUGAUUUAUUUCAAUUUCAUCAUUUAACAUUUAACUUAUUUUAAAUUAGCCUUCCUAUAUUUUUUUUAUUGGGUUAUCUCAAUCUUAUGCUCAUGGUAGCGAAGUUUGCAAGUUGACUUAGGUUGAUUCUUUUUUUUUUUAUUGCUACGGGGUUAGUCUAGGUUCAUGACCAGAAUCACUGGUUUCAAAGGUUAACGUGAAUUGACUUUUUUAGUAUCCUUGUUAAAAUUGAUUUAUUUCAAUUCCACCGUUCAAUAUAUGAUUUGUUGGAAAUUAAUCUUUGUACUUUUUUUUUGUUUCCUUUAUGUUGGAUUAUCUUGAUCUCGUGUCAAUGAUUGCGGGUUUUGAAGGUUAAUCAAAAUCAACUCAUAUUUUUUCCAUUGCUUUUUUAAAUUAAAUUUUUUUUUUCUUAUUUUUAUCAUUUGACAUUGAGUUAUUCGAUAAUCGAGCUUCAUGUAUUUAGAAUUGACUUUCAAACUUUUUCUCUUACAUUUCUUUUGAUGAGAUUGACCUAACCUUAUAUUUAUGGUCGUGAAGUUAGCGAGUUAAUCUAAUUUAAUUGGUUUUUUUAUUUUAUUUUAGUAACAUUGAGUUAUUUCAAAAUCCAAGUAGACUUAGAGUGGUUUUUUUUACUUUUUUUCAUUGUCAUAUAUUUUUUUGUUAGUUUAUUUAUUAUUAUUAUUAUUAUAUGUUUUAAUUAUAUUGUUUAAAUUAUAAAUUAAAUAAACAACUCGGUUUCAUAUUUUUUUUCUUUAAUAUUAUUUUUUUUACAUUGAAAAACGUUUUAUUCGACCCGCAUAGUCUCUCACUAUUUUUUCCCAAUUCACCUCAACAAAUCAUUUAUUUAUAGCUCACCCUUCAAAGUUCAAAGAGAACAAUCUUCGUCAAUUCUCUCUCCACCAAUUACACAGCCCACUUCCCCAAAUGCACUUUUCACUUUAAAACUACAUCCUUCACCGUAGAUAACGUCCAAUCCAACGGCAGACGUUAAAUCAUUCCUCCUGCGAUAGCAAUCCGCGUCCGCCUCAAGUCAAUUUCCACCGAUUACAACUCCUCCUUUUCAUUUUCUCUCUCCUAUAAAUCCCCACUUUCUUCUGCCGCCAAAUACCAGAUUAAAAAACAUUCUCUCAAUUCGUCUAAUAUCUCGAAGUUCCCCAAAUACCAGACUCUUGAUUUCUUAAUUCUCUGUAACCAAUCAUGCCCUCCUCCGCCACCGCAGCUCCGUCGAAGGCCAAAGCCAACCUCUCUAAAUCGAAGAAAACCGCAGCUGCAUUAACCUCUGGUGGUGCCAAGAAACCCAGAGCCUACCCUACUUAUCAUGAGGUAAUCAAUCAAUCAUAAAACAGCUUAUGACUAAUCAAAUGACACGUCGUUUCAUACUGUAAUGCUAUUUUUGGGAUUUUGAUGUAUGCAGAUGGUCAAGGAGGCGAUUGUGGCUUUGAAGGAAAGGAGUGGAUCGAGCCAGAUUGCAAUUGCUAAGUUCAUCGAAGAGAAGCAUAAGUCCAACCUCCCUGUAAAUUUCAAGAAACUGCUGCUUGUUCAAUUGAAGAAACUUGUUGCUAAUGGCAAGCUAGUUAAGGUCAAGAACUCCUUCAAGCUCCCUCCUAAAUCUUCCGCUAAGGAUGCUGCUUCUGUGAAGAAAGCGGCUCCGGCGAAUCCCAAGGCCGAGGCUAAGCCUAAGCCGGAAAAGGCUGCGAAGGCCGAGGCUGUAAAGUCUCCGGCGAAGAAAGCUGUUGUUGGGGCUAAAAAUAAGACUCCGGCGAAAAAGGCAGUAAAGAAAACCAAGAGUAUUAAGUCGCCGGUGAAGAAGGCAGUUAAGAAGACCAAGAAGUGAAAGCAGUUUGUGGAUAGAAUGACAGGACUUGUAAAUUGAGGGUUUACACGGGGUUAUUUGGGUAUAGAAUUGCUUGAUUUUUUUAGGAGAAAUUAUUUCAAUGUAAUUCAACUUCAUUUUGAAAGGGAAUUAUUUGUUUUAGUGAAUAUUUGGUAUUGGUGUGGUUAAUAUUUUUUAAAAAUGUUUUUUUAUUUAAAAAUAUAUUUUUAAAAUUUUUAACAUCAUUACUACCAGAAAUUAAAAAAAUAAAUAAAUAUACUUUUAAAACUCAUAUAAACACAGGUUAAAUUUCACGAAAAGAGUAAAAUAAUUCGAAGUUAAUAGCGUAGCAUCAUCCAUUUGGCAGAAAGCACAAUCAUGAUUUUUCGAUGUUUAGAAUAGAGGUUCUGAGCUCCGAUUGAACAGUGGGCCUGGAAGGAUCCAUGACGAUGUCUUUCCAAAAAGAGCCCGGCUCGAAAAUGGGGCUUGGGUCUGUGUAAAGCUCGUAGAUGGAUUCUGCUUCAGCCCUCAAAUUGCUUGCAUUUGUCAAGCAUUUGUACCCCUCUGGAUUAAUCAGGAGCAUGUUGUCGCCAUCUUUCCAUGCUAUCUGCUGCAUUCAUUUUGUGCCAAUCAAAAAGUCAGUGUAUAAGAAAAAUGCAGUCCCUACUUGUCUUUUGAAUCGAUACCAGUACGGAAAUCUACAGGCAAGAACUAAGGUAACUGCUGCUAGUUCUGAGCUACGAGGUCCGGAAGGUGGGGCUAAUUUUCGUACAUAAUGCGUGUUCGAGGUCCAUUUCUUGUCGAGGCCUCGAGAUACAGAAUAGUGCAUCUAGGGGACCACAAUCCAGGAUUCCAAGCUCAAACUUACCAGUUUUCUUAGAACUGACAGAUGGGUGAUGGGUCUAAUUUAUUUCAAUAGAUUUCGACACUAGUGACUCAAAUAGCAUGGUGGCCCGACAAAAACUCAAGGGUAGUUGGCAGACUCUCUUCGCUAAUCGAUGUGUUGUUUCAGAGGUGCCACGUUCAUGCUUGACAAACCCUGUCAUGAAAUUUGAGGCGUUGUGCAUUUGUGUGUGCCAGGCACUACGAGAAAGAAGAGAAGAAGCACGGGAUGCAUGGCGGAUAAACCUGAUGGAAGAGUCGUACUUACACUAGGCGGUGCUCCCACUGAAUUGGUGCAAUAAAGCCUGGCAUUAUCAACAAGUUGGCAGUAUCUUUCAAAUGCGCUGGCAAAUCUCUUGUGGGACUUUAACUGGGAAUCCACCCUCACUGCCCCUCUUGUCGUUAUAGCUCUCCUGUUCAAAAUCCCAGAAAAACAUACCCUCUUUCAUUACUACCAUGUACCGUACGACAAUAAACGAGAAUGAUGUUGAUUACUACACAGCUAGUUUUAUCAUGUUUCGAUUGUUACCUGAUGCCUCUAACAACAGCUAGAUAAGGGUCACAGACAACUCCAACCAGCUCUAUUCUGUAUGGUUUCCUGCCAGUUAAUUCUCCUUUCUCGUUGUUUAAUCGCUGGUCUUCUUCCUCUUGCUCUACCUUUUCCCAGUAAUUUACAUCAACGGUCCAAUCCUCAGCAACCUGGUACCCUGGUCUCAUUCGGUAACGACAUUUGUGCACAUUACGAGCCAUGGCAAUUGUUUGCUCCACGAAAGACUCCCAUGAAAGGGUGCCAUCAAUGAUUAUAUCCUGUCCUUCAUUCAGUGCAGUUACUAGGAGUGAUGAUUGGUGCACCUAUAACAGACAAUAAGAUAAAUUACAGAAUGGGAUUGAUUUCAACUUUUGAUCCUGGAAUGUUUUGUUUUUUAAAGCUAAAAAUCUCUACCCAGGUGGAAAAAAAGAGGGGGGGAUGGAUUCUUUACCAGUUCAGCAGUUUGAAGCAUGUCAUCGUGAUGGCCCAUGGAGCUAUUGGCUCGGUAGGUGACAUCCGACUCUUUGAAUGCAUCAGCCUCUACCACAACCGCCUUUGCCUUUGCUCCUGACCAGAACGGUCUGCCCAAUUAUUUAUUGAUCAGUGUCCCAUCAAAUCACAAUCACAAGGCAUGCACUAUUUUCCAAAGCAAAAUUCAAUUAUCUUUACUCCGUGCCCCUUUGUUUAUCGAACUCCGUACGUAAAUUAAAUUUUCUUUCGACAAGAUAAUUGGCAUUUUAGAAGGGGUAUUAUAGAAUUCUAACACAACUUGAUAAAAAUUCCAAGAAAGCAAUAUAAGUAAAAAAAAAAAAAAAAAAAAAGCACAAUCACUUUGAAAAUAGCGGUUGACAUAGCUGCUGUUACAAAUAGUAAUUGUUUUGAAAAUUAUGUCUUUUGAUUUAAUUAACAUGUUUAAAAAAUCAACUUAAAUUUUUAUUAAAAUAUAAAGAGUAAUAAAUAAGAUUUAAAAUCCAAUGUUUAAGAAAGAACGAGUCAUCGAAGAUAUUUUGAAGUUUCAUUUUUGACACACUCAGUAUCGCUAGAAAGAUCUUGAGAGACGAUUCUAAUCACACGUUAAAAGAUCACCAAACAUGAUCGUAAUUUAUUAGGGUUUUUCUUAGGUUAGUUUAGGGUUAAUUACAACAUCAUUUUGUAUUCUUUUAAGGUAUAGUUAGAAUUGUCUCGUUAAGAUAUUUCUAUGUUAAUUUUUAUUAAGAUUAAUUAAUUUGUAAAAGAACAUGUCUUGAAAUAUAACUAAACAAAAAAAAAAAUUAAAACGCGAUUGCUAUUUCAAAUAGUGGUUGUAUACAAAAAUAAUAUUCUCAAACACGAUUAUAUUCAAACUUGUUAAUUUUCAAAUAAUUUUUUAAUAUAUAUAUAUUAUUGUCCCAAAAAUUUUAGCAAAUUACAUUUUUUUUUUUAAAAAUCCCCAUGUUCAAGCCCUAUUACUCUUAAAGUCUUCUUUCGUUUUUUUGGGUAGCUGAUACUCUUCUUUCAUGCAUGUUAUAUAUAUAUAUAUAUAUAAUACGCAACAUAGAAAAAUCAUGAAAGUUAUUUUUAAUGUUUACGAGGUAAAAUUUGAUAAAUCCAUACUCUUUGAGAAUAUCUUUGGUGACAGUGCUCUUGCCAGCCCCCAUAACACCACCCAUAAGUAGCAGUACCGGACUUCUCUCACUCAGUGCCACCGGCACCAUGACCUCCGUACAAUGUGAUUCCCCCUGGCCGCUUGCUUUCAAUCCCUCAACUAGAGUAGAAAAUAACCUUGUAACUUUCAAUUCCUCGGUCACCCUCUCAAAUCUUUGUUUUCUGCCAAAACCCACAAAAAUUAAAACCAUGACGAUAAUUUAAAGUAUCCAUUCGAUUCCUGAAACCAUAAAGUUUGGUGUGGUAUAAAUGAAAAACCACGGCACCUCUGGCCCUUCAUAAAAGAGAAAAAUGAGGCCAAGUGGAAGUGGGUGAAUUGAAAAAUAAAAAAAAUGAGGCCAAGUAAUAUAAUAUUACAAGUCAUUGUCAUCAAACCCUUUGCGCUUUGGUUUCCUCACGGAUUCAACAUCCAUAACCUGCCAUCCAUGCAGAAAAUUAGAGUAAAGAGCAUAAGACAACAAAGACAAGAAACAGAAAAUAAAAGGUACUGUUCCUUUUCUUUUUAUUAUUUGGUUCUGAAAAUUGAUGAUAAACCUGACCGAUAAACAGAGAUGCCCUGCUCCAAUGAAAUGCGAAAUAAGUGAGGAUGCAUUUUUCAAAUUCCGCCAUCAGCUUCACGUACAGAAAAGUUUGUAACUCUGGUGCACCAGCAAAAAAGUCAUAUAUGUUAUUCUCACACCCUUCAGAUCUUUUCAGAUAAUCAUAAGCCAAUUUGCAUAGCCGUGGACACUCAUCUGCAUCUGCAAAUCCCAUCUGCCUAGCUACAAAGACCAGUACAGUGAAAAAUGGGUAAAAUUUCUUCUUUCUUGACUCUUGAGAAAAAAACAUUAUUUGUCAAGAAAAAGUAAUACAACUGAAACAGUUUAUAGUUACUUGAAUUAAUUUACCAACAUAAUCGGAGAAUCUUUCAAGAUUUUCCAAACGGCCAAAUUCUUUCCAGACUAAGCCUGGAAUGAUGUGCUGGUCUCUUUUAGCUUUUGGUUUUCUCCGAUAGUCGAGAGUCCAAGCAGCAGCGGCACUGAUGAAACCCACUAAGGAAGCGGCAAGAACUCCUGUCAAUUUGGCAUGGCCGUUAUUAUUAUCUAAAAGAAAGGAAGGAACUGUCGUCAAAGCUUAUUUUCUUACUAGAAAACGAUCAGACAGAGAGAUUACGCAGAAAAAGAAAAAAGAAGGCUUACUUGACUGCAUCUUGUUGAAGCUUAGAGGAGGCUUCACUGCAGAUUUGAGAUAGUUUGCCGGGCUUUAGAUGAUUUUACCGAUUACAGAUGGAGCUCAUCUCAUGAUAAAACGAGCAUGUGACUUUGUGGGUCUUUGUAAAUAAAGGAUGAUGGAUAAAUUUUUAUAUGCUUAUCGAUUCCCACAUGACAAAAAAAGAAGAAGCAUUUCUUUGAUUUGAUGCACAUCCUUUCACGUUUUAUUAAAUAAAAUAAAAGCUAAAGUAUAUGGAAUAUCUUUUAUACAUGCAUGUGUCUUUGUUUAUCGUGGAUUAAAAUAAUGAAUUGAUAACUUUAUUCUUAAAAAAAUCUCAUUAAAAUGCUUUUUCAUAGAUUAAAAUGAUCUUCUUUUUAGUUCAUUUAUCAUUUGUGAAUCGCUAAGGGGGUGUCUUGAUUUUUUCAUUAAUCUUGUGUACAUUUAAAUAACUCUGUUGCCCUUCAGUUAACUAUGGCUUAUGGUUUUUUUGGCAUUUUGUAUUUUUAGUUAUAGUAUAAUUAUUCUAUCACUUUUGGAUUCAGAUUUUUUAAAGCUUGAUUUUUAGGGGCUAAUUUAUAAUUGUAAUUUUUUUCUCCUAAUAAUUCUUGGGUUCUAAAGGUAGGACGGUGUUUAAAAAAAAACAUUAAAAGCUGACAUGUGAGCAUGUUAGCCUCUUUCGAGCAAUGCAUGCGGUUGCAUACAAUGGUAAAAAAAUUGAUUAUAUCGCAUAAUUAGAUUCAUCUUGUCCUCGUCUUCAUCUAUGUGAGACGCGUGUGCUCGUUGGACUUUUGAUGAGUCACCGAUAUUUUUUUUUCUUUUCUUUCUUUCCUUCUAAAAAUUGUGCAUAGCCCCUUACAUUUUCAUAUUAGCCCUUCAAGUUCAUUUUCUUUUGAUUUUUUCCUUGAUUUUUUAAUAUCUAUUUGUUUUAUUUUGAUUCAUUUCUCAAAUUUUCUUUUUUCUUUUUGCAAUUGCAUCCUCCUUUAAAUUUUUUGUCUAUCAAAUUUGGUCUUUAUUAUUUUGAUUUUGUUUUUUUUUUUACUUUUAUUUUGUUGAUCUAUUUGUUGUUGGUGUUUCAAAAUCCAUCAUUUUAAUUUUGAUUUUUAAUUUUAGUCCUUUUCUCUUUUGUUAGAGUUUUAUUUAUUGUCAAUUUAAUUUUUUAAUUCUAAUUUAUAUAUAUAAUAUUUUUCGAUUUAGUUCUUCUGCUUUUGAUUUUUUUAUCCUUGGCUCUUUUGUCAAGGUUUUUAUAGGUUUUAAUUUUAUAUUUCAAAUCAAGAUUAUGAUUUUUUUCAAUAAUAAUAAUAAUAAUAUUAAUUUCAAUUUGAUCUUUCUUCUUUUGAUUUCUUAUUUGUUUCUUUUAUCCUAAAGUUUUUAUGAUUUUUAAUUUAUCCUUUAAAUCAAGUUUAUGAUUUUUGUUAUAGUAGUAAUAAUAGUAUUGGUGAUAGUAGUAAUAGUAGUAGUGGUGAUAGUAGUAAUACUAAUAGUGAUAAUUACAAUGAUUGUCAUAAUAAUAAUGAUAGUAAUAAUAAUAAUGAUAUUAAUAAUGAUAAUGAUACUAAUAAUACUGCUACUAGUGAUAAUAAUGUUAAUAAUAAUGAUAAUAAUAAUAUUUUAUUAUGAUAGUAAUAGUGGUGAUGAUGAUAAUAAUUGUGAUAAUAAUAUUAAUAAUAAUAAUAAUUGUGAUAGCACAACAACAACAAUGAUGAUGAUAAUGAUAAUAAUAAUGAUAACUAAAAUAAUAAUGUUAUUAAUAGUAAUAGUAAUAAUGAAAACAAUCUAAUAACACUGCUAAUAGUGAUAAUAAUUGUAGUAAUAGUAGUAGUUUUUUAUGAUAAUAAUAGUGGUAAUGAGAGUAAUAAUUGUGAUAAUAACAGUAUUGAUAUUGCUAAGCAGAAAGAAUAAUAGUAACAAAUGAUAACAUUAGUAGGAUAUUAUUAAUAAUAAUGAUAAUAACACCACAACCUCCAAUAAUAAUAAUAGCGGUAGUAGUUUUUACAUUUCGAUAAAAAAAAUAGUAAUAGUACUAGUAGUUUAUUAUAAUGGUUGUGAUGGUUAUGAUAUCAAUAAUUGUAGUGGUGAUAGUAAUAAUAAUAACAAUUGUAAUAAUAAUAAAAUCAACAACUCAAAAUAAUAAUAAUGAUAUCAAUGAUAAUUUUAACAACAACAACAACAACAACAAUAGUAUUAAUGCUAAUAAUAAUAAUAGUAGUAGUAGUAGCAGCAAUAGUAGUAGUAACAAUGAUAAUAGUGAUGGUAAUAGAUAAUAAUAAUAAUGUUAAUAAGGCCAAUGAUAAUAAAGGUAGUAAUAGUAACAAUAGAAGUAGCAAUAAUAAAACGAUAAUAAUAAUGUUGGUGGUGGUGGUAGUAGUAGUAGUAGUUAAUAAUAAUAAUAAUAGUUAGAGCUGAGCAUUUCCGGUUCGGUCCGGUUUUGAACCAAAAUAAACAACCAAACCGAUUUUUUUUAAUUUUUUGAACCGAACCGAACCGAAAACUGGUUCAAACCGAAAUUUUUCCAACUUGUUCACAGUCCCAAAAAAAUCCCUAAUCCCUACGUCGAAGAAGGCAACUAAAAAUCUUCCUUAUUUGGGCAUUUUGAUGCUUUGUGCCCCGACCGCCCACAAUUAAAACAAGAGCUUCCAAAUCCAAAGCUUCUGCUACGCAUAAAAAAGAAAAGAUGUCAUGUUUGUUUGCUGAAACUUGUAUGAACAAAUUGUCCAAACCAGCAGCCACACAAGCCAGCAAAAGAUAACAAGGAAAAAAAAGGGGGAAUGAAAGGAAAAAAAAUCCACAACUUGACACUUACCCAUAUCAUGCAUGCACCCCAUAAAGCCUGUAACUUUAGGUUUACAAAGAGUAAAGGGAGGGGAGAAAAAUCAAAGCAAAGGAGAGUAAAGGGAAGGGAGAGGGAUAUGCAGAGAAGGGGGGGCUAAAAGGGAUAUGCAGAGAAAGGGGGCUAAAGGGAGGGAGGGAUAUGCAGAGGAGGGGGAUAUGCAGAGGAGGGGAAGGGAGGGCUAAAGGGAGGGAAGGGGCGGUUGAUGGCUAAAGUGAUUUUAGGGUUAGAAAAUGUUGUAUUUAUACUUACUUUUUUUUAAGUGUUGGCUGGUUGAACCGGUUCGGUUCGGUUCAAUCGGUUUCAGACUUUAGAAACCGAAACCGAACCGAACCGGAAUUUUUUUGUGAUUUUUUAAUCGGUUAAUUCAGUUUUUUUUUGUUCGGUUUUUUCGGUUUUUUUUUCUGGUUUUCUCCGUUUUCUCGGUUUUUUUGCUCACCCCUAAUAAUAAUAGUAGUACUAAUAAUAAUAAUAAUAAUAAUAAUAAUAAUAAUAAUAAUAAUAAUUGUUAUAACAAUAAUAAUAAUUAUUAUUAUAAUAGUGAUAAAAAUAAAAACAAAGGUAAUAUUAGUAGUUGUAACAAAAAAAAAAUGUAUUAACAAUAAUAAUAACAACAACGAUAAUAACACUGAUAAUAAUCAUAGUGCUAGUGAUCAUGAUAAUAAUAUUAAUAAUAAUGAUGACGAUAAUAAUGAUAAUGAUAUUACUUAUUAAUAAUGAUAGUGAUAGUGAUAAUGAUCAUGAUAAUAAUAAUAAUAACAAUGAUGACGAUAAUAAUGAUGAUGAUAUUACUUAUUAAUAAUAAUAAUGAUAGUGAUCAUGAUAAUGAUAGUUGUAAUGAUGAUGAUGAUGAUGAUGAUAAUAAUAAUAAUAAUAAUAAUAAUAAUAAUAAUAAUAAUAAUAGCAAUGAUAAUAAUAAUAAAGAUAAUAAUAGUAAUAGUGAUAGUAAUAAUUCAUCAUUCGAUGUUAUAUUUGUUGGGGAUUGAGUUUCACUGUUUUUCCAUGUACGAUAUUUUCAGUCUAAUAACCGGAGUUACGAGUAUAAAAUGCUCAUGUGGCCCGACAUUCUCUUUUAUUUUUUGCCUUAUUGGUUUUUUUUCUGAUUUUAUCAUUCAACAUCAGUGUUUUUAAAUAAAAAACGGUCAUUUAGGUCUCCUUUGGAAUUAUUAAAUAAACCAAUUCACAUCAAGUUAACUAUAAUAUAGUUUGGGUGUUGGGUGUGACAUCUUAGCAGAUCCAUAGGUGCUUGGGCUUAUCGUGUAGCAGAUUUCAAUAGGAUUGGGUUUGACAUCUCGCUAGAUCUCUGACACUUGAUUUUAGGGCAUAGCCGAGCCCAAUAUAGUUGAGUCUAAUAUCUUAAUAGACUCACUAGCGCUUGAACUCAAUGCGCAACCGAGUUCUAUAGAGUAUUUGGAGGUGUAGGGUAAGGCCUUUCAAGAAAAAGGAAUUUGUGUAAAAUAUGUUGGUACAACAUAUAGUAAAAACAAAAAAGGGCAAUGUCAUCCCACCGGGAGCGAGUCAGAGUAAGGGUCAAUAUGAAGAUAAAAAAAAGAUGAAGAUAUAAUUAAACUUAAAUAAAUGGGUAUGAAAUGAAAUAACCAUAUUUUUUAGGGGUUUAAAAAAAUAUUAGGGGUGGGGGGCCCGCUGCAUAGAUAAUUAAAGUAAGAGCCUAAGUGGGUGAUGUAUGCGAUACAUCUGGACCGUUGGAAUAAUAUUCUACACAUUGAUAAUUGAUGGUUCUUUUAUGAAAGAUCUCAUCUAUCUUCGUUUGUAAGUAACCUAUUUACACGUGCAACAUUUCGGUUCAUAUAAAAAUCUAGCUAUUUCUUAAAAAAAUAAAAAUUAGCUAGAAGAAAAUUUUGUAUUGUAAACAAAACAGUUAAUGUAUAUUUAAUUAAAUAAAUCGGUAAUACUAAUAAAUAAAAUUCACAUAUUAGAUUAUAUAACUCUAGUUUGAUUUACAAAUGAAUUUAUGUUGGCCUUUUUUUAAGAGAAAAAUAAAAAUAAACGACUCUUUGUCUAUUUGCUAGUUUUUGAAUAAUGGAGAGGUGGUAGAAUUUUUUUAAUCUAAAAAUUUAUUUUUAAAUAUAUUUCACCUAAAAAUACAUUAUAAUUAAUUUUUAACUCAAAACACCUCUAAAUCGGUCUAAAAAACAAAACCAAACUAGGAAAAAAAAUUCUUUUUCAAACUUUUCCAGACCCCAUAAAAGCUUAAAAACACAAUAAGAGAUAUUGACACUUAGAUUGAAAUUUUUUUUUUUUAUCGGAAUGUGGCCACCUAAUAUUUUUCUUUUUUCUUUACCGUUCAUCGACGAGCUUCUCUCCUCACUCAAAUUCAUGUAUUGAAAAAAGUACAAAAUAAAUUCUUGAACCAAAGGUAAGACUAAAAAAGUUAAAGGGUCCAAUCCAAAAAAAUAAAGGAAAAUAGGGGGCUGAAAAAAAGCUGCUUUUGAGACGUGGUUUUCACAUGAUUUACGUUGUGGCUCCGUCCUGCUUUAUAUUAAAAGCAUAUAUAAUUUUAAUCAAUAAUAAUGGUGUGGUCGAGUCAGGGUUCAGCUACCAUAUAAAAUACACAGCUUUAAAUUUGUUUUUAUUUUUUUUACUUUAAAUUAAUAUUUUUAAAUAAUUUAAAAACGUUAAUUUUAAAAAUAAUUUGUAAAAAAUAAAAAAAAUAUUAUUUUAAUAUAUUUUUAAAUAAAAAACAUUUUAAAAAAGUAAUUCCAAACGGACCGUUACUCUAUCGCCAAAGCAUCUCACAUAUUAUUGCAUCAACUUGGCAUUAAAAUAUUCUUAAUAUUAACAGCUGAUGUGUAUGUUUCACUUUUACCUGCUGCUGUAUUAAUGGUAGAAAUUAUAUCAUGAUGUUAUUGGUCUGCAAAUCACUGUCUUUUACACGACAGUCACAGAGGUAUUUGUCGUCACUGAGGGUAAACAUAUCAUUUUAUAUAUCAAUUUUAAUUAAAAAAAAACACACACAGAGACAAUUAAAGAAUCUAUGGUUAUAUCAGCACAAAUAUGAAGGUAAGCUUUCUUUCCCUAGCCAUUCCUCCAUGCCAAACGUACUUGAAAUUGGACGAUGGUGUCAUGUUUACGAGGGACAGAUGAAA
This 23451-nucleotide long non-coding RNA is filed under the name Populus trichocarpa (black cottonwood). RNAcentral describes it as "long non-coding RNA (PTRI_LNC002179)". The record is from RNAcentral. Lineage: Eukaryota; Viridiplantae; Streptophyta; Magnoliopsida; Malpighiales; Salicaceae.